This 406-nucleotide ribosomal RNA is filed under the name uncultured bacterium. Its description in RNAcentral is "partial 16S ribosomal RNA". It matches the Rfam family "Bacterial small subunit ribosomal RNA", at positions 30 to 526 of the family's 1533-position model. The record is from RNAcentral.
AUUGAACGCUGGCGGCAGGCCUAACACAUGCAAGUCGAACGAGUGGCGGACGGGUGAGUAAUGUCUGGGAAACUGCCUGAUGGAGGGGGAUCACUACUGGAAACGGUAGCUAAUACCGCAUACCCUCGGAUGUGCCCAUAUGGGAUUAGCUCGUAGGUGGGGUAAAGGCUCACCUAGGCGACGAUCCCUAGCUGGUCUGAGAGGAUGACCAGCAAAACUGGAACUGAGACAAGGUCAAGACGCCUACGGGAGGCAGCAGUGGGGAAUAUUGCACAAUGGGCGCAAGCCUGAUGCAGCCAGGCCGCGUGUAUGAAGAAGGCCUUCGGGUUGUAAAGUACUUUCAGCGGGGAGGCGUUACCCGCAGAAGAAGCACCGGCUAACUCCGUGCCAGCCGCCGCGGUAAUAC